This 222-nucleotide ribosomal RNA is filed under the name uncultured bacterium. RNAcentral describes it as "partial 16S ribosomal RNA". It matches the Rfam family "Bacterial small subunit ribosomal RNA", at positions 28 to 250 of the family's 1533-position model. The record is from RNAcentral.
GACGAACGCUGGCGGCGUGCUCAACACAUGCAAGUCGAGCGGUAAGGCCCUUUCGGGGGUACGACGAGCGGCGAACGGGUGAGUAACACGUGGGUGACCUGCCCUCAGCUCUGGGAUAAGCCUGGGAAACUGGGUCUAAUACUGGAUAUGACUCCACGGUGCAUGUCGUGGGGUGGAAAGCCUUGUGCGGCUGAGGAUGGGCCCGCGGCCUAUCAGCUUGUU